GCAGAACUGCUCAUCUCCAGGGAAAGGCGACAUCCCGAGAGCCCUCCAGAGCAGAUCUGAGCUCUGCUGGGCGGGGAAGCGGAGACUGAUUCGCCGCGGUCGCGGGCCCAGCGGCUGGGAGGUCCCGCGCUGGCCGAGCAAAUGAGGAGGGCGCAGGGCACGGGGGCGGUGCGCGCCCAGGACAGUUUCCCGUCGGCUUCUCCCGGACUGUCCUACCACUUCCAUCUCGGAGCGGGAUGCUCGGAUCCCCGCAAGGCCUCCUGCGGACGUGGGAGAGUUGCUGAGACAGGUGAGAGUUGAUGAGGCUCAGCGUCUCCAGAUAAAAGAAGGGACAGAGCUGUCGGUGCGGUGAGGUUUGAAAAGUUGCGGCGGCCCCGGCAGCUGCAGGGGGCGAGCGCGGAGCAAAGCCCGGGCCGCACCAGACGGGCCCUGAGUCUCCAGGGCUCCUCGUCCCCAUGCGCCAGCGUGUCUGAUGCUUCACUGGACCCGGGUCUCUUUCUCAAUGUCAUCUCACAGCCUCUGUCCCUUGGGUAGGGAAUCAGGCUUCUGAGCUAUCAUCUGCUUAGUACCGUCGUCCUCUGCUUUGGAAAAUAUUUGAAUUGUGGUCUGAUAGAAGACAUGAAAAAGUUAGAAUACUACUAGAUUCCAAAGGGAAAAAAAAAGUUUCUUCGUUUACAAGUAGCAUCUACUGAUGGGAAUUUCUUAAUUGUUAUCAUUUAAGAAAAUACAGAACCAGGUUUGGAUCCAUGAAAACGAAUUGGUCUUCAGCCUUUCAAACACUGGCCAAAAAAAUUUGCAAAAGAAAAACACAGGCAUCAGGUAGCAGGCACAGUAUUAAAAAUUCAGACAGUUUUACUGUCGGAUCUUAAAAUAUAUUAGAAGUGUGUGACUUUCAUAAAGGACGAGAGAGAAUCAACUUCAUGCUAUUUCGAUAGGUAUUUUCUAGAUAUGCCAGAUAAUUUUGUCUUAUUAUCUCACAGAUUACUUGUUUCAGCCAUACACCAUGGGGAAAAAAAUGGCAAGGGGUUUGAAUGAUCGUUUCCAGAGCAGUUUUUCGUAGCUACAGUAGUACUUCCAUUUUACAAAUUCUCUGUGUUAGUCAUUCACUCAUAUAUUUCAUUCACCAAACAUUUAUUAAGGCUCUUCUAUGUGCUGUGUACAGUGCUAGACUUGGGAGAAGAGGGAUAAGUGGUGAGAGGGACAUACAAAAUUGAAUUAGAAAAAUUCACAGUUUAGGCAACUGGAAAUGCUAGGAAGCAGUUGUAAACCACUAUGAUACAUUCUUGUCGUGAGACGCCACCAGGGCAGCCCCUGCUAAUGGCCGGGAGAGGUACACUGACCACAGCUGAGUUUCGGGGUUCAUCUGCGUGGUGGCCUUUGCUCUUUCAAGGCAGCCACUAUUGGUUCCAUUUACAACAGGAGGAGACCAACACUAAAAGUGCAGUGAUGAGCCUCAUGUCUCACAGUUAGUCAGGCUCCUAAUCCAAAAGCCACUGCUAUGACCUGCGCUUCCGGACAUUCUGCCAUUUGAUCCCUACAACCUCACUACCUGAAGGACUAUAUUUUGAUCAUUCUUAAUGGGCCAGCUUCAAACCCCGUCAAGUUUUGAAGAGGGCAGAUGAAGCUGAUGACAGCUCCAGUUCCAGCUAUGGGUGACCUGUCUGUCUGCCUUUUUUGAGCUGUGGAGUGAUCAGAGUCAUAUUCGCUGCCUGUGCAGUACCACAGGCCUGAUGAAAAUGAAAUGGCAACACCACACAGAUGGCGAAGCGUAGGUCUCACAAGCGUCCUGGCCACGAAGCGUUGUCUUCAGCUUCGAUGUCUUAGCCUUGAGAGAGCAGCAGGGCCAUUCAGCAGUCAUUUAGCCACAGGAAUGUCCGUCACUGAAGGCUGUUUCUGCUGUUGUAUUCUGUCUCAGACCUAGAUGCCUGCAGUUUCCUCGGAUUGAAAACAUGGAGGGAUCUCCUGGUGCAGUGAGUCCAGCAUAUCCAGAGUGAAGCACAGUCACUGGUCAUUUUACACUACAUGGAAAAUCUCAACAAGUUUCAAAUUUUGAUAUUUUGGGUAUCUCUCCACUCUCCUCCGCAUCCAGUACAUCACCGCCAUGGGCUGAAUGUUUGUGUCCCGGCAAAUUUCUGUGUUGAAAUCUAAGCCCCAAGAUGAUGGUAUCAGAGAUGAGGGCUUUGGCAGGUGGUUAAGCCGUGAAGACAGAGGCCUGAUGAAAGGGGUUGGUGCCUUUAGAAAAGAGGCCUCAGAUAGCUGUCCCGUCCCUUCUACCAUGUGGGAAUGAAGAGAGACAGUAUCACCUGUGAACCAGAAGGUGGCGCUCACCAGACAUUGAAUCUGCUGAUGCAGUGUUCUCGGAUGUGAACCAGAAAAUCUGAGACGGGUCUUAGUUAAUUUGGAAAGUUUAUUUUGCCAAGGUUGAGGACGUGCUUGUGACACAGCCUCAGGAAAUCCUGAUGACAUGUGCCCAAGGUGGUCAGGGCACAGCUUGGUUUUAUACAUUUAGGGAGACAUGAGGCAUCAAUUAAUAUAUGUAAGAAACACUGGUUCGGUCUGGAAAGGCGGGAAAACUUGAAGCAAAGGCAGGAAGGCUGGAAGCAGGGAGGGAGCUUCCAGGCCACAGAUAGGUGAUACACAAAUGGUUACAUCCUUUUGAAUUUCUCAUUAGCCUUUCCAAAGGUGGCAAAUCAGAUAUGCAUCUAUCUCAGUGAGUAGAGGAAUGGCUUUGAAUAGAAUGGGAGGCAGGUUUGCCCUAAGCAGUUCCCGGCUUGAGUUUUCCUUAGUGAUUUUGGAGUCCCAAGAUAUUUUCCUUUCACAUGGACUUCCCAGCCUUUAGAACUGUCAGAGAUAAAUGUCUGUUGUUUAUAAGCCACCCAGUUUAUGGCAUUUUGUUAUAGCAGCCCAAACCAAAUAAGAAGACCGCCAGCCAGUUCUACCUAAACAGUCCCUCCAUGUGUCCACCAUCCUGAGUCCCCAUUACCACGCCUUGUCCAGACCCCAGCAUUUCUGUGACUUGAUGCAAUAUAAGUUUACUGCCUAAAUAACAGGUACAGGACUUUGUGUGGACAAAUGUGCUCUUUUCUCCUGGGGUAAUAUCUACGUACAAAUGACUGGGUCACGUGGUAGGUAUUUUUAACUUUUUAAAAAACUACCAAACUGUUUUCCAUAGUCUUUGCACCAUUUCACUUUCCCACCAGCAAUGAAUGAGUGUUCCAGUAACUCUGCAUUCUCAACAGCACUUGUUAUCAUCAGCACUUGUUAUCAUCACCUUAAAGAGUUUCAGCCAUUCUAAAGGUGUGUAGUGGUUUUCUCCCCACCUUUUAAUUUUCUUAAUAGUGCCCUUCAAAAAACAGAAGUUUUUAAUUUUGAUGAAAUCUAGUUUACCAAUUGUUUUCUUUUAUGGAUUGUGCUUUUUGUUGUUACAUGUAUGAAAUCUUUGCCUAACCCGAGAGUGCAAUAUUUUUUUUCCAUGUGUUCUUACAGAAGUCUUAUAUAUCUAUGUUUUACAUUUAGGUCUACGAUCAAUUUCAGUUAAUUUUCAUAUAGGGCCUAAGAUAUGGAUUCAGGUUCAUUUUCUGGCACAUGAACAUCCAUCUGUUCCAGCACCAUUUGGUGAAAAAAUGAUACUUUUCCAUUGAAUUACUUUUGCAUUUUUAUUGAAAAUAAGACAAAAUUCCAAAUACCAUAAUCCUGAAUGCUAAAAUCCCAAAAGAUCAAAGAUCCUAAAGUAUAAAUCCCUAAAGUCUAAAAUUCUGAAAAUCACAAUCACAGGAUAGGGUUUUUUUUCCUUUUCUUCUAUUUUUUUCACUAUUUUAAAUAGCAAAACAAUUCACUAUGCUAUAUAUUUCAUCGUUGCAUCAUUUCCAAAACUUGACGUAUAGGUUGUGCAGAGACGUUUAGAGAGUCCUAAUUUGUUUCAUGCAUUUUUUUGCAAAUGUGACUCCAUGAAAGUUCAUUAUCUCAAUGUUGAUUUUGUGUAUAAACAUUGUGUAUGUACAUGAAAACAUUGAAACCUCCUCAGUGAUGUCCUUUUUGUACACCUGCAUUUGUAAAAGACAACAUUUUUUGAGAUCUCAGCUCUUUGGGUGACUGCAUAUGUAGUGGUAAUCCAUUGUGGUUUUUGAUCAAUCUUGUCAAAAGACUUCGGUUUUUUAUCACAGUAUUUCAGAUGAGCACAUAUACAAAGCUGGUUGCACACAAUUACCAAUCAUAGUGAUAUGUGUUUACACAUUUUCCUUUUGACCUACUUCUUUAGGAAUACAGUUUAUCUGCUCAUAAAUGCUAUAUCUGUGCCAGGUAUAGUCGUAUACCUGAGUAUUUAUUCUUGCAAAAACAUGUACGCUAGUAUUGCUUCUUUUAUUGUGUAAAGCGGCCUAUGAAGUGUUCUGUUGUGUUUUUAUAUGUUUCUCAAAUAAAUCCCCCCCUCCCUUUUUUUUUGAGAUGCAGUCUCAUGUUGUUGCCAAGGCUGGAAUGUAGUGGUGUGAUUUGGGCUCACUGCAAACUCCGCCUCCCGGAUUCAAGCGAUUAUCCUGCCUCAGCCUCCCGAAUAGCUGGGAUUACAGGCAUGCACCACCAGGCCGGGCUAAUUUUUGUAUUUUUAGUAAAGAUGGAGUUUCACCAUGUUGGCCAGGCUGGUCUUGAACUCCUGACCUCAGGUGAUCCACCUGCCUCAGCCUCCCAAAGUGCUGGGAUUACAGGAGUGAGCCACUGUGCCCACACCCACUCCCCUUAAAAUGUAAGUAAAUAUCUUCAGGAAUUUUUAAAAUUAUUUUUUCCAGAAUUAUAUUUUCAGGAUUUUGGAUUUUAGGGAUUUUUGAUCUUUCAGAAUUUUAAGAGCUGGGAUUGUGUCUUUCAAGACUGCUUCUUCAGGGACUAUGACGGGCUUCCCUCUAGACAGCAUGGGCUAGGAAGCAUGUUCUGGAAUGUGACAUUUAAGCUGAGAACUGAAUUGUACAAAAAACCUAGCCACGCCAAUUACCCUAAGUGAAUUAAUGCAAAAAUAGAAAUCCAAAUACCACAUGUUUUCACUUAUAAGUGGGAGGCAAGCAUUGGGUGCACAGGGACAUAAAGAUGGGAAAAUAGACACUGGGGAUUCCAAAAGGCAGGAGGAAGGGAGAGGGUUGAAAACUUACCUAUUGGGCACUGUGUUCACUAUCUGGGUGAUGGGAUCAGUUGAAGCCCAAACCUCACUGUCAUGCAAUAAAUCCUUGUAACAAACCACUCACGUAGCUCCUGAAUCCAAAAGAAAAAAAAAACCAAAAAACAAUAUUAACUUUUACCCGAAAACCACCUAGCCACAGAAACCAGGGGGCAGUGGUGGAGAGGAGGCCCCAGGAGGAUUCUAGGUGAGGUGGCUGGACAUGCAGAAGCCCUGCUGGGGAAGGAAGAGGUUUUGUGUUUAGGAAGUGAAAGCCCAGGUAGCUGAGCUGUGGCGAGCCGGGAAGAAUGAAGGGAUGAGACAGCAGAGACACAGGCUUCGGUUCUGGGGGUCCUGCUGCUGCCCCACCUCCUCAAUGGUCCUCCUGGCCCCUCUCUGCUAAGCAGGAAGCAAUGGCAUCUUUUUUUUUUUUUCUUUUUUUGAGACGGAGUCUGGCUCUGUCGCCCAGGCUGGAAUGCAGUGGCGCAAUCUCGGCUCACUGCAAGCUCCGCCUCCUGGGUUCACACCAUUCUCCUGCCUCAGCCUCCCGAGUAGCUGGGACUACAGGCGCCCGCCACCACGCCCGGCUAAUUUUUUGUAUUUUUAGUAGAGACGGGGUUUCACCGUGUUGGCCAGGAUGGUCUCGAUCUCCUGACCUCGUGAUCCGCCUGCCUUGGCUUCCCAAAGUGCUGCGAUUACAGGCAUGAGCCACCGCGCCCGGCCACAAUGGCAUCUUUUACCCAUGAAGUUGUCGGCACAGUUGGGAAAUAGCAGGCAGUUCCAGCGGAGUUUCUCAAGGCUUGGAUUUGGCUAGGAAGUUAGGCGGUAGUGGGGACAGACUCAGAGGUUUUAGGAAUGACCACCCUGUUUCCAGUAUGUAGGAAAAUGACUUCUUGAGACAGAAAACUCUGAAAUUCUUUUUUUUUUUUUUUUUUCAGAUGGAGUUUCGCUCUUGUCACCCAGGCUGGAGUGCAAUGGUGUGAUCUCGGCUCACUGCAUCCUCCGUCUGCUGGGUUCAAGCGAUUCUCCUGCCUCAGCCUCUCAAGUAGCUGGAAUUACAGGUGCCCGCCACCAUGCCCAGCUAAUUUUUGUAUUUUUAGUAGAGACGGGGUUUCGCCACGUUGGCCAGGCUAGUCUCGAACUCCUGGCCUCAGGUGAUCCACCCACCUCAGCCUCCCAAAGUGCUGGGAUUACAGGCAUGAGCCACCACACCCGGCUGAAAUUCUUUUUGUUUUAUUUUUGUCAAACUUGGUGGCAGAGUGUGCAAAAGAACAGAAUGAGGUUUUGGAAAUGUUGGAUUUGUAGUAUUUUUGUGAUGUCCGGUUGAAGAUGUGAGGCAGCCAGUUACAAUUGUGGAUCUGCAGCCUGUGGGAGAGCCCUGGGUUAUUGGUGUGAAUUCAGGACUUGGUGGUGGGUUCCUUUCCUGUGGUUGCUGUAACAAAGGACCACAGCACAGCGGCUUGAGCAACAGAUGCCUUCUCCUUCAUGGCUCCGGAGGCAGAAAGCCUGCGGGCGAGGUGUCAUCAGGCUUCUCCUAGGGCUGUGAGGGGCCUGCUCCAGGCCUCCAUCCUCACUUCCGGCAGCCUUGGGCACUCCUGGGCUUCUAGGUGGCCACCUUCUCCCUGGGUCAUUAUGUCGUCUUCCUCUGUGUGGUUCUGCCUCUGCAUCCAAAUUUCCCUGCUCUGUAAGGACCCUGGAUUAUGCCCCACCCCAAUCACCUAAAGCUUACCUGCAUCCUCUGCAGAUACCUUUUUUCUAAAUGGGCCACAUGGAUAGGUACUGCGGGCUAGGACUUCAAUGUCUUUUGGGGGACACAAUUCUACCUCUAGCAGAUGGUGAUGCAGCUGUAAGCCUGGGUGACAUCACCUGGAGAGAGUUAGGGGUAAGAGCAGAAGAGGCCACGUGCCCAGCCUGGAAGAACUGUGUGAGUUCAUAAUAACAGUGGCCAAGGAGGGGAGAGAGGAGAGAGGCGAGGGGAGCAGGCAACAGGGAAACACAGAGGCGGCAGCCCAGAGCUCGGAGGAGGAGAGGCUGUGAAGGAGGGUGAGGUAUAGUCUCAAAUGCUGCUGAAAGGUUAAGUAUGUUGCAGUAAUUUGAAGGCUAAAACAUGCCAUUGGAUUUCAUAGUCAGGCAUCACCUGUGCCCUGUGCCUGAACUGCUGUGGUGUAGAUGAGCCUGGCUGAGGAAGCAGCCAGCCAGAGGGGAAGGAGUGGAGCCAGGCUCCGGGCCUGCUUAAGGGUUGGAAGAGGGUAGACCAGCUGCCAGAAGGCGCAUGGGCUCGGGCAGGGAGAGGCUUUUAAAAACGGGAGGGAUCUUAGAAGAAAGAGGAUCCAGUGGGUUGGAGAAAGUAAAGGGGUCAGCACGGCAGGUCCGGGAGUUGAAGGAGCAGCGGUGAGGGCUGACUGAGCAAGCGAUCUGCGAUCUGCUGGGAGAGGCUCCGGCGCUGAUCCCAUAGAUUCGCAGCGAUUUCGGAAGAUGAGUCCGGGGUGUGGCUGUGGGAAGGAUGGUCAGACAUAUUUUUCCUCUAUUGUAUUAAUGUCUUAUGUGAAGAUGGAGUAACCUCUUGGCUACCUAAUAUAUAUAUACAUAUAUAUAUAUAUAUAUAUCUAUCACAUCUUCUCACACAUUUAAUUGUAAAAAUGCUCCUACUUAAUCCUAAUCCAGCCACCUUCUGUGCAAUUCCAAAUGUGCUCACCUUCUCCCCAGUGGGUAACAAUCCAAAAUCACAUACAGGUUCUGUACUGUGAAGUGACACAAUUUAGCCCCUCUGAGUUCAGGUUUUCUAGGUAGUGUCAAUUCCUCCAUUAGCUUGGAUUUGAUCAGGUUUGUGACUUCUCACCAUUCUGCAGAUUAUGGCAUAAAUGAUAAAAGUAGCUUCUCCUGCCUACCCGAUACAGUGAAAUGGAAUAAAAAUCAAACCAAAAACGGGGAAAGAAGUGCCUACAUUGAUAACUGGUACAGAUUAUAUAAUAGCAUAUCUCGCUGAGCAAGCUUAGCAGGAUGAAUGAUAGAAACAAUGGGUCUCAUGAGCAUUCUCUUUGUUGCCUCACUUCUCUGGAUGUAGAAUAAAUUGUUGGAACCACCUUCAGAAAAGGCACCAAGGGAGGAUUUCCUACUGGUGCUUGUGGUGGUGAUGGCAGGCAGGUGUUUGAGGAGAUGCUAGUGAAUGGCUUUGAUCCUGGCACUUGUGGUGGUGAUGGCAGGCAGGUGUUUGAGGAGAUGCUAGUGAAUGGCUUUGAUCCUGGCACUUCAAUGUUGGGGCUUGGUUUAGGGUCUACCAUAAUGCUGGACGGUCACAGGUCUCUGUACAACAGGCUAGGGACUUUUUUUGACAGUACAACUUCCCUAAAACUGUAACUAAUUUCUUCACAGUUGUAUUUAGGAUCUUGUAUCCAAUGCCAGAAAUCUUGUCUUGUUCUCAAUUUGCUAAAGGAAUAGACAUGGUCCACACAACCUUUAGGCCUUUUGUUUGUUUGUUCUUUUUUCGCAUUUUGUCAAGAGGAUCUUUCUAUGACUCUAACUCAGCCACAUAGAGUUUGCCUCUGGAAUAGUUAGGAGUCUUUCUUUAAUCUUCCCUUGAGUGUCACCCUUGUCCUUUCAUUGCAUUUCAGACCAGCGCAUUUAGCAAUAGAAAAAGGCACCUUCAUUUUUGUUUGUAAGAUCCAGCAUGGUGGCGUGGACCUGUAGUCCCAGCUACUCGGGAGACUGAGGUGGAGAGGAUUGCUUGACCCCAAAGGGUAAAGGCUGUAGUAAGCCAUGAUCAUGCCACUGCACUCCAGAAUGGGCAACAGAGCUAGACCCUGUCUCAAAAAAAAAAUUAUUGCCAUAAUAUUUGUAACAUUCUUUCAUUACAU
Molecule: long non-coding RNA, 8994 nt
Filed under: Homo sapiens (human)
Lineage: Eukaryota; Metazoa; Chordata; Mammalia; Primates; Hominidae
Description: non-protein coding lnc-CENPJ-8:4
Source: RNAcentral